GCCAAAACCAGCGCACACACACAUAAUCUCCUUUGUAGCUGAACAUUGUGUGCCCGAAGAGGAUUCUACGAUGACGGACAGACAACUGAGCCAAUGGCGGAAGACUACAGACUACACCCCAGCUGAACCAAUCCAAAGAUCCGAUCUUCCAGAAUCAACCUACUUUCUGUUCUAUAUAUAAGUGGUGUACUGAUUGUAACGGUCUCUUUGCCUGCAGUUCCGUACGAACCAGCGGAGGAGCCGUAUUUACGCUGUUCUAGAUAUCUUCACUCUGAAUAAACUGUCGCUUGUCAUACAAUUUACCACCUUGUCUGAAUCGAUCCUUGACCGACUCGCCCGUCUACAUAUCUAAUUUCUAACAGAACUUGGUAGGCAGAGGAUAGUUUACUAACGAUCCAGUCGAAGUGAGUUGAUUUGGGUGUGAGAGGGCGAGUUGGUGAAAGGACGGUUCACGGAGGACGGGUGAAGACUUUCGGGGGAGGACAACAAUUCUGCUCAACUCGGAAAACUGAUCUCAAGGUGCACCAUAAAAAAGCUCUUUCCAAACAGAUACACAAAGUCCAUGAGGGGGAGCUGACGGGAGAUCCGGAGCAACUGAGGGUAAAGGUCGGAGACUGGGUAAGGAUCAAGGUCCACAAGAGAAAGUGGCAGGAUCCCAGGUGGACUGGACCGUACGAAGUGAAGGAGGUUACUUCACACUCGGUCCAGGUCAAAGGUAAAUCAGGGGCGCCUUGGCACCACUUGACUCAUUGUGCACCAGCUUCGAUACCCAAUAGAACACUGACAGAGGUCAGGGUCGACUUGAGCGACUUGAAUUCGGCUCCAAUACAACCCGAUUAGCAGGUGACGAUGUGGACCAGACUCCCAUCAGCAUCGGCUAAUAGGCCUCCUAGAGACAGGGGUUAUCCCUGGACUAGACUGGGCAUAUCUGGCCCCGGUUUAUUUGUGUGUUUGUAAAUGCAUAUGUCUACUGAAUGAUAUAUUGAACGAAUGUUUAGACAAUGUUUUAGAUGUGUUGACUAUAUUGAGUGAAUGUUCAAACGAUGUUUUAGAUGUGCUCUGGCGUAAAUGAAGAUUUGUGAGACUCAAAUCGUGUGCAUGAAAUAUGCUUGAUAUUCAGUCGGGGACUAAUAUCGGUAUGAAUGAGGUCGGGGACCAAGCGAGUGUGGUACAUUAGGUAUUUCAGUUGGAGCUGGUACCGGUGAGUGUUGAAAAAGUCGCAGGCUUGCUGAUGAGAGUUAUAUCAUAGAAUAUUGAGGGGGUGUGCAUGACUGUUGGAAAAAGUGUUCAACUCUAUUAACGUGAAAUUCUUUUUGUAGAUUUGGGGAGACAAUUUGGAGAAACACGAAUAAGACAUGAAACAUCGAGACAAAUUAUUUGAGUUUGAGGGGAUUAUCAUAAUUAUUAGGUUUUGUUUAUGUAGUACAUGUUUGGGUUAAGGGGAUUUCCAUGUUCCCAGAGACAUGAUAUUUUAAAGAGGCACGCUCACAUAUGGAACCUUUAUGAGUUUUUAUUUUAUGAGUUUUAAUUACACAAGUGAUUUUUAUUUUA
Long non-coding RNA from Oncorhynchus tshawytscha (Chinook salmon), 1551 nucleotides. Lineage: Eukaryota; Metazoa; Chordata; Actinopteri; Salmoniformes; Salmonidae. The record is from Ensembl.